This 301-nucleotide ribosomal RNA is filed under the name uncultured bacterium. RNAcentral describes it as "partial 16S ribosomal RNA". It matches the Rfam family "Bacterial small subunit ribosomal RNA", at positions 509 to 807 of the family's 1533-position model. The record is from RNAcentral.
CAGUAGCCACGGGAAUACGGAGGGAGCUAGCGUUGUUCGGAAUUACUGGGCGUAAAGCGCACGUAGGCGGCUUUGUAAGUUAGAGGUGAAAGCCUGGAGCUCAACUCCAGAAUUGCCUUUAAGACUGCAUCGCUUGAAUCCAGGAGAGGUGAGUGGAAUUCCGAGUGUAGAGGUGAAAUUCGUAGAUAUUCGGAAGAACACCAGUGGCGAAGGCGGCUCACUGGACUGGUAUUGACGCUGAGGUGCGAAAGCGUGGGGAGCAAACAGGAUUAGAUACCCCUGUAGUCCCUGUCUCUUAUAC